This 253-nucleotide ribosomal RNA is filed under the name uncultured bacterium. RNAcentral describes it as "partial 16S ribosomal RNA". It matches the Rfam family "Bacterial small subunit ribosomal RNA", at positions 524 to 776 of the family's 1533-position model. The record is from RNAcentral.
UACGGGGGGGGCAAGCGCUGUUCGGAAUUACUGGGCGUAAAGGGUUCGUAGGUGGCCGACUAAGUCAAACGUGAAAUCCCUCAGCUUAACUGGGGAACUGCGUCUGAUACUGGUCGGCUUGAGUGCAGGAGAGGAACGCGGAAUUCCAGGUGUAGCGGUGAAAUGCGUAGAUAUCUGGAGGAACACCGGUGGCGAAGGCGGCGUUCUGGACUGCAACUGACACUGAUGAACGAAAGCGUGGGGAGCAAACAGG